UGGCUCAGAUGGUAAAGUAUCUGACUGCAAUGCAGGAGAUCCAGGUUCAAUCCCUGG
Molecule: transfer RNA, 57 nt
Filed under: Capra hircus (goat)
Lineage: Eukaryota; Metazoa; Chordata; Mammalia; Artiodactyla; Bovidae
Also listed under: 1 other name
Rfam family: tRNA
About the family: Transfer RNA (tRNA) molecules are approximately 80 nucleotides in length.
Source: Rfam by way of RNAcentral